AUUUGGACUUGGAAAUAACGUUGGUAGUAUAUUAAUUUUCUGUUGUUAGAAUGUUAUUGUUUUAUAUUGUGCUCAACGCUCAUCGCGACAGCCAUGAUGCGUACAUUUACGUACGAUGCGUGAGUGCGUAUACACACGUGUGGAUCGAGCAGUGCGGAGUGCUCUUUAUUUACAGUAUAUUUAUAUAUAACUGUUUGAGUGCGUCGAGAUCAUGAGCAAACGCACGCUUGUUGCGACAGCCAAUCAGAAGCAGUAAUAGUUCUGGAGACUGUAGUCGCAUUAUCUUACAUAUACGUAUGAUGUGUGAGUGUGUCAUAUAUACGUACGUUUGUGCUUGUGCGCUUGUGCGCUGUCGAGCGCUUUUAAUUGUAUACAACAUUUUUAUAUGGGUAGCUGGUGAUUCAAGAUCUAUUUUUCGACCUAUAUAAGAGAGAAAUUUGCA
Molecule: long non-coding RNA, 442 nt
Organism: Temnothorax curvispinosus
Lineage: Eukaryota; Metazoa; Arthropoda; Insecta; Hymenoptera; Formicidae
Exons: 3
Source: RefSeq, a predicted model, not a curated record